This 785-nucleotide ribosomal RNA is filed under the name uncultured bacterium. RNAcentral describes it as "partial 16S ribosomal RNA". The record is from RNAcentral.
AAGGAGGUGAUCCAGCCGCACCUUCCGGUACGGCUACCUUGUUACGACUUCGUCCCAAUCGCCAAUCCCACCUUCAACGGCUCCCUCCACAAGGGUUAGGCCACCGGCUUCGGGUGUUACCGACUUUCAUGACGUGACGGGCGGUGUGCACAAGGCCCGGGAACGUAUUCACCGCAGCGUUGCUGAUCUGCGAUUACUAGCGACUCCGACUUCAUGGGGUCGAGUUGCAGACCCCAAUCCGAACUGAGACCGGCUUUAAGAGAUUCGCUCCGCCUCACGGCAUCGCAGCCCUCUGUACCGGCCAUUGUAGCAUGUGUGAAGCCCUGGACAUAAGGGGCAUGAUGAUUUGACGUCAUCCCCACCUUCCUCCGAGUUGACCCCGGCAGUCUCUCACGAGUCCCCACCAUAACGUGCUGGCAACAUAAGACAAGGGUUGCGCUCGUUGCGGGACUUAACCCAACAUCUCACGACACGAGCUGACGACAACCAUGCACCACCUGUAUAGAAGCCACAAGGGAAACCACAUCUCUGUAGCGAUCCUCUAUAUGUCAAGCCCAGGUAAGGUUCUUCGCGUUGCAUCGAAUUAAUCCACAUGCUCCGCCGCUUGUGCGGGCCCCCGUCAAUUUCUUUGAGUUUUAGCCUUGCGGCCGUACUCCCCAGGCGGGGCGCUUAAUGCGUUAGCUACGGCGCGGAGCCCGUGGAAGGAACCCCACACCUAGCGCCCACCGUUUACGGCAUGGACUACCAGGGUAUCUAAUCCUGUUCGCUACCAUGCUUUCGCUCCU